Molecule: long non-coding RNA, 2961 nt
Organism: Salvelinus namaycush (lake trout)
Lineage: Eukaryota; Metazoa; Chordata; Actinopteri; Salmoniformes; Salmonidae
Exons: 2
Source: RefSeq, a predicted model, not a curated record
AGAGAGAAGAGAGUUGAGAGAGAAGAGAGUUGAGAGUUGAGAGAGAGAGAGAGCGAGAGAGAGAGAGAGAGAGAGAGAGAUUAGUGUGGUUUACAGUAUGGUUAGUGUGGUGUACAGUAUGGGGCCUCAGCCAGACAUGAGGCUCCCUGCAUCGGCCAUGUCUACAAGGGGACAGCGGAGAGGGAAAGUCACUUUCAACUUCUGAGAAGAAAAUGCAAAGAUGUCCAAUUACAUGAUCCCUUUGUGACCACUAACCAACGUAGAAGACACAGGACACAGGAGACUGCAUUACCUGGAGGGAUGGAGGGACACAGGACACAGGAGACUGCAUUACCUGGAGGGAUGGAGGGAGGGACACAGGACACAGGAGACUGCAUUACCUGGAGGGAUGAAGGGACACAGGAGACUGCAUUACCUUGAGGGAUGGAUGGAGGGACACAGGACACAGGAGACUGCAUUACCUGGAGGGAUGGAGGGACACAGGACACAGGAGACUGCAUUACCUGGAGGGAUGGAGGGAGGGACACAGGACACAGGAGACUGCAUUACCUGGAGGGAUGGAUGGAGGGACACAGUAUAUCGCUAUGCAUCAAAAUUACAGCUCAGAGUGUUUAUAGUUUGUGUCAAACCACAUGAGCGCUGGCCCUGAAAACCACUCUUAGCAUCGACAAGCCCUCCCGUUGAAAAGGUUAGCAUUUAGCCAAAGGCUUUCCAAUAAGAUCACGGAUGGAGAAAAAAAAGAAACACCCUGCAUGUUUUCCUGUUUCUCUUUACACUCACAUUCACCUCCAAAUGUCAGCAGCAGUAUUGAUCAGGGAAGAAAAAUACAACGUGAGUCACGGAUGGACGAGGAAAUCAUAUUUCAUAACCUGACGUCUGCAUUUGUCAGUCAAAGGGUCAAUCGUAUUUGCGAGAGGUAAUCUUGUGUUGUAGUAUUUGGAAGAUGCGUUGGAUAAUGUGGUUAUCAGGAGGAAAUUACGUUGCUAAGAUAGCAACCGCCAGGACAAGUCUCUGCACACUUUCUGUUCAGGUGGUCAUAAUAGCCGUGAGCUAGAAUGCAGAGCCGAUACAUGGGGUCAAAAAGUCAACGCCCUAGCAACGAGUUCCUGCUCAUUAUAAAAUAGCUCCUAUGGCACCUAGCACCUUGUUAGUGGUUAACCAUCUUAAAGUACAGACAUUCUCUGUCUCACCAUUGACUUCUCCCGAGUUGGUCUUAUUUUUCUCCCCUCCUUCCUUCCUAAGCAGGCAAUCAAUUCUCUCACUGCACUCAUAACACAUUGCCAUGUUUCUAGUUGGGUUCCAUCUUUGAAAUCUGUCAAGGGUGGUUGCUACUAGAAACGAGAACGACAGAGAAAGGACUGAGUCAUCAUUUGGACAAAGUUUUUACUAACCAUUUACAUUCUGACGCAAAGGUCACAGUGGGCUGUUUAAUCAAUGUGUCUUUUCAGAAAUUAAACUCACUCGUUUUCUGGUGGGUUACAGAUAUGAAAGCCAAACCCAGUAAAAGUUUGGUUUCAUAAGCAAAAUAAAGUUGAUAAUAUGUAUUUAUUAGAAAUUUAGCAGGAUGAAAUCUCUUGAGAAAAGUUGCUUAUUCUCAGGCUGACCUAAAGUCGGUUAUUCUGACUGAUCUAAAGUUGGUUAUUCUCAGGCUGAUCUAAAGUUGGUUAUUCUCAGACUGAUCUAAAGUUGGUUAUUCUGACUGAUCUAAAGUUGGUUAUUCUGACUGAUCUAAAGUUGGUUAUUCUGACUGAUCCAAAGUUGGUUAUUCUCAGACUGAUCUAAAGUUGGUUAUUCUCAGACUGAUCUAAAGUUGGUUAUUCUCAGACUGAUCUAAAGUUGGUUAUUCUCAGGCUGAUCUAAAGUUGGGUAUUCUGACCGAUCUAAAGUUGGUUAUUCUCAGGCUGAUCUAAAGUUGGUCAUUCUCAGGCUGAUCUAAAGUUGGUUAUUCUCAGGCUGGUCUAAAGAUGGGAAUUAUCAGGCUGAUCUAAAAGAUGGGAAUUAUCAGGCUGAUCUAAAAUUGGGAAUUCUCAGGCUGAUCUAAAGUUGGGAAUUCUCUUACUUUUUCUCCAGCUCAUCCCUGCAGUCCCCCCUUGCUGCUUUCAAAUUAACAUAUUAAGUAAAGCAAUUUACGUGGGACGUUUUUUGGGCAACGAUUCAAUACAAUUAAAACAACCCACGGAAACAAUGUCAUAUCAACAGUAACUCAUAAUUAACUGUGCAAAAAAGAUUUUUUUUUUACCGUGAUGAAUGUAUCUCUCGAUGCAAUUAUAAUGGGUUUUUUUCUUCCCAUUUGAAGAGUGAUUGUAUGAAAGCAAAUAGAGCCAUUGCCACUUUGUAGUGUGCGACUGUAGGCUUCAAGGUGGUCUGAGUUCUUGUUCUUUUGUGUUCGAGGCUACAUUGAAACGUCUUGCUGUAUUUACUGAAGUAAACUGUAUGUGUCACUUACAAUGCAUUGUUUAGGUAUUGGACAAAUCUUGAACACUGUUAUUGUCUAGGCCUGUCCUAUCAUUGCUACCAUUCACCAUAGUAUGCACUUUAACACAUGCAUCCAAUACCUGAUUGCAAAGAUUCUGGCUUAGGAAACUCAGAAUUCAACCAAUUGUUGAUGCUGUUGAUGUUGCUGCUGUCGUGUGUGGCAAGUCACAGCCCCUGUUACUGGGUUACUCUGCCAAACAUCCAGCCAUGUAGCUAAUGAACAAGUCUUACAGACCCAUUUCAGCCAUCUUUUUUCCUUGGGCUUGCGUGACAUGUACUCUGUACCCUGUGUCAGGCCUUGAGAUUGCACAGGUUCCCACUGUGAUAAUGGUCACCUGCCAGACUCCGACUGCGGAGGAGAUGAGGAAAAGUGAGGAAAGGAGGUAGAGAAAGAGAGAGUGUGAGAGAGGCAGGUCGAACUCGAGUCACGAUGCCAUCAGCGGGCGGUUUCCCCGGCAACGGGCAAUUAAAGCGUCCUUUGUCUAA